Sinocyclocheilus grahami is the source of this 314-nucleotide long non-coding RNA. RefSeq lists it as uncharacterized. The record is from RefSeq and is a predicted model, not a curated record. Lineage: Eukaryota; Metazoa; Chordata; Actinopteri; Cypriniformes; Cyprinidae. The transcript is spliced from 3 exons.
UGGUAAAUUGUGUUCAUGUCUGUCUUUUAGAGAUUUUUCCACAUUUUCCUGAUGUGAAUGCCAUGCAUUAGAGUCAUCGAGGAUCCAGCUUAUUAUUGGCAAAUUGGACAGUACAGAAAGCGCACAAGUGGGAGAGAGAGGAGGGGACAGCAUCAGAAAGGACCUAGAGUUGGGACACUUUCAAGGAUCACCCGAAGCACAACCACGCUAUAUGCACAAGGCUGUUGGUUCUAACAUUUUAGGGUACCCCUUAAUUACCCCUUAAAAAUUACGUUUCGCAUUCCCCACGUUAGAAAUUGCGUUCCCCCCUCAAA